CGCCAGCACCAGACCGAUCUUCCUCCUCCUCGCUUAUCCUGCACAUUUAGAAAUACAUGCAGGGCUGAGUACAAAGUACUCAGUGUACAUAUGCCGAAAAACAAAAGAAAGCUUGCUCUUAGAGCUAUAAAUUGAACUUGCCACAUUAAGCAACACACAGGGGUUUUAGUUAGAGAAGAACCUGUGCAUGCAAUUUCGCAAAUCAUAACAUCAUAAUAAAGUAACUGCGCAGUUUAAACAUUCAUCAAUGCAUGUACCAUAUCUACUAUUCAUCAUCAAAGGUACUGAGAAGUAGGCCUCCCUCUCAAGUACCGUGACCGGCCGACCCGAUCGACGGCUCACAGUCACCUCUGUGCACAAAAUCCCGCUUGUGGCAGGACCGAAUUCGUCUCAACAGUAGAGGGUAACACACAAGUCAUUAUUAACAAAACUUGGCAAGUCAAUUAGUUUCAAGCAUAACAUUAACUCAAUUCAUAAUCAUAAAUAUCAUAUCAUUUAAGAAAGCUCGUAUAAUAGGUAUAUCAAAAUAAUGCCCACCUGACAAACUUAGCUUACUCUCGUAGUACUUGGGCGAUCUUACUUCCGUCCUCUGCUCGUAUCUUCAGAUGUCACAACAUCGGAGUGGUUCAUGAGAUAAGAUAAACCUCAGUUAAAAACUCAUUUACUACAAUCCAAUCUCAUCUCAAACUAUAACUUAUCACUCAUCUUCUAUUUACCCAAAUAAAUCUCAAUCCCUAGGUAUACUUAACUCCUAAGGAUUCACAAGUCCUACUCUCGACUUAACACUCAACUCGGAUUAAACUCAUAGCAAUUAAGCACAUAAACAAGCAUAAUCACAUAAGCAUAUAAUUCACACAUAGACAUGUCACAAACAAACAUCAUUCUGCACUGACUCGAUUUAAAGACUUCACCAGACUCGGUACAGAACUCCAAUGGAGUCGUGACCUAUACCAUUUGAAACCUCUUUGAGUCUAGUUUCAUUAAAAAAAAAGUAGGAUGAAAAAAUCCAAGUAGUUUAGGAGAUAUGACUGUUUUCCUACAGUCUACCAUAUUCGGCAGUUUUGAGCAAUUGAAAACUUUGAUUUUUGAAAAAUAUUAAAAGUUGCCAAAAAGGCAUUAAAUUUGGUGGGUACUUAGAUAAGACACUAAUGUCUUAAAAAUAAAAAUUUGGGCUCCAAAAAGUUAGGGAAAGAUACUGGAAAAGGUGACUCUAUUGGCUACUCACCGAACAUUUCGGCAGAAAGUAGCAGUUUUAGUUUUCGAUUUUAUAAAAAUAGUAAACGAAAUCCAAUUGACUUGAAAUUUUACCCGUAUGGUCAAGACUCUCAUAUAAUCUUACCAUAAAACUUUCAAUGUCUUUGGAUAUCAAGAACCCAACGAAAAAGUCGGUAGAAAAGGUCAUAAAAUGACUCCAAACUUGAACAUAAAAGCAAUUAUACCUAAACUCCGGACUUCUUCGAUGCAAAAUUCUCAAAAAAUUCAAAUUAAACUCACAUAAUACACAAUAACAUAAAUACAUGAUCAUAUAACAUAUGAAAAACAAAUCAAACAUCGACUUCCCCUUAUACUCGUCACAUUCGGCCAACAUAUAGGUUUUCAGGGGUUGGUCCGUUUCGUCUCAUAUCGCAUAUAUAAGCUCAACUUAUCAUCAAUUAGCCACAUAUAGACAUGCUUGGCUCAUAACUCAUCUUAUAUACAAGAUCUCAUGUAUGCACGCAAACUAAACUCGAGAAAUUUUCACAAAUCAACAUCAUGAUUAACUAAAUUAAUCAUGCUUUCUCCUUGCUAUUAGUCUAACUAACAUAUAAACAUCAUCAAUUCAAGUAUUUAUCUUGUUAAUCAAAAGUUCCCAAUUAUUAGUAAACUAACUUAACCAAUUUUAGGCUUUCUUGACAAUUAACCAAAUUGAUCCCUAAUUAUCAUUUCUAUCAUGCUUAAUAACAAUUAACCUUAGCCAAUUUAAUCAAUUAACACAUAGAUCACAAAGUCCCAAUUUGUAACAAACUAAACUUUUUGAAAAUUUGUAAACAUGCAUAAAUCAUUAAUCCAACCUUAGAUCUAUCAAAUUGACACACUUAAUAGCAUAAAUAAACAAUCGAUUAGUAAAUUAAACCAUAGAAUCAAUUUUACCCAAAUUACAUCAAACUAACUCAUAUCAAAAAUCACUAAUCAAUUUCAACCAUCAAUCCAAUCCAUCAAAUCUCAUAUAAACACUCUCAAUAGCAUAUAUCAUCCAUCAAUUCAUCAAUCAAGCCUCAAAUCCAAAACUUCCCAAAUUUACACAAACUAAACUAUAUUUCAAGUCUCAUAUCUCUUUUUAAAUCAAUUAUCUACAUAUGGAAAAAGACUAAUUAGGAACCCAAUAGUAUUUAAAUAACGUCAAUUUAAGAAAAGAAAAUGAAAAUUUUUUUGAAGGGUAAAAGACCCUAAUUUUCGAAAAUUACAAAGAAGGGAUAGGGGUGUUUUCUUGCUUCAAUCAUCAAUAUAUACACAAAUAUUCAACAUAAAUAAGUCUAGAUAUAAAAGGAUUCAUCACUUACUCAAGGAUUUGGAAAUAAUAAAAAUCUUUCUUUGACUUCAACCUUGAGAAACUCUUCAAAUCUUGGCUUGAUUAAAAGGAAAUGGAUGUUUAGAACUUGAUUUAGGAUAGAUCUAAGUAUGUGAAUUAUUCUUCGAGCUUGGUAAUGACCAUCAAUGGUGGUAGAGAGAGAAAAGAAAGUGAGAAGGAGAGAGGGAGAGAGAGAUCGAAAAUGAGGGGGAGAGAAGAGAGAGAGAGAUGUUUUGUUUAAAGCUUAAACUUGCUCACUAAGCUACUAAUCUAGCUUCUCCAACACUUCACACUUGCAACUUGCCCACUAAGUCAUCCAAUUAAUUAAUGCACAAUUAAAGCUCUACAUACGUGGNAAUUUAGAAAGAAAAUGAAAAUUUUUUGAAGGGUAAAAGACCCUAAUUUUCGAAAAUUACAAAGAAGGGAUAGGGGUGUUUUCUUGCUUCAAUCAUCAAUAUAUACACAAAUAUCCAACAUAAAUAAGUCUAGAUCUAAAAGGAUUCAUCACUUACUCAAGGAUUUGGAAAUAAUAAAAAUCUUUCUUUGACUUCAACCUUGAGAAACUCUUCAAAUCUUGGCUUGAUUAAAAGGAAAUGGAUGUUUAGAACUUGAUUUAGGAUAGAUCUAAGUAUGAAAAUGAUUCUUGGAGCUUGGUAAUGACCAUCAAUGGUGGUAGAGAGAGAAAAGAAAGUGAGAAGGAGAGAGG
Molecule: long non-coding RNA, 3254 nt
Filed under: Salvia miltiorrhiza (redroot sage)
Lineage: Eukaryota; Viridiplantae; Streptophyta; Magnoliopsida; Lamiales; Lamiaceae
Description: long non-coding RNA (SMIL_LNC007186)
Source: RNAcentral